UGUGCUAUACUAGUAGGGUUGAAUAAAGCAACCCUUGGUGUUUAGCUUCUUUCACCAAGCAUAUUACACGCGGGCAACCGCCAAAGGAGAAAAGAUG
This 97-nucleotide non-coding RNA is filed under the name Streptococcus pneumoniae. Its description in RNAcentral is "PreQ1-II sequence". It matches the Rfam family "PreQ1-II (pre queuosine) riboswitch aptamer". Rfam says of the family: Q is a hyper modified nucleoside present in some anticodons in tRNAs (Try, Asn, Asp and His). Lineage: Bacteria; Bacillati; Bacillota; Bacilli; Lactobacillales; Streptococcaceae. The record is from RNAcentral.